RNAcentral lists this ribosomal RNA (645 nucleotides) under uncultured bacterium. RNAcentral's name for it is "bacterial SSU rRNA". It matches the Rfam family "Bacterial small subunit ribosomal RNA", at positions 8 to 698 of the family's 1533-position model. The record is from RNAcentral.
AGAGUUUGAUCCUGGCUCAAAACGUACGCUGGCGGCACGCCUAACACAUGCAAGUCGAACGAAGUAGCAAUACUUAAUGGCAGACGGGUGAGUAACAUGUGGGUAUCUACCCUUUGGCCUGGAAUAACACGAGGAAACUUGUGCUAAUACCGGAUAAGUCUUUACGGAGAAAGCUUUAUGCACCAUUGGAUGAGCCCGCACUUGAUUAGUUUGUUGGUAGGGUAAUGGCCUACCAAGACUAUGAUCAAUAGCUGAUUUGCGAGGAUGAUCAGCCACAUUGGGACUGAGACACGGCCCAAACUCCUACGGGAGGCAGCAGUGGGGAAUCUUGCACAAUGGAGGAAACUCUGAUGCAGCGAUGCCGCGUGAGUGAAGAAGGCCUUUGGGUUGUAAAGCUCUUUCGUCGGGGAAGAAAAUGACUGUACCCGAAUAAGAAGGUCCGGCUAACUUCGUGCCAGCAGCCGCGGUAAUACGAAGGGACCUAGCGUAGUUCGGAAUUACUGGGCUUAAAGAGUUCGUAGGUGGUUGAAAAAGUUGGUGGUGAAAUCCCAGAGCUUAACUCUGGAACUGCCAUCAAAACUUUUCAGCUAGAGUAUGAUAGAGGAAAGCAGAAUUUCUAGUGUAGAGGUGAAAUUCGUAGAUAUU